This 442-nucleotide ribosomal RNA is filed under the name uncultured Aminicenantes bacterium. Its description in RNAcentral is "bacterial SSU rRNA". It matches the Rfam family "Bacterial small subunit ribosomal RNA", at positions 936 to 1382 of the family's 1533-position model. The record is from RNAcentral. Lineage: Bacteria; Candidatus Aminicenantota.
AGCAUGUGGCUUAAUUCGACGCAACGCGAAGAACCUUACCAAGGCUUGAAAUGCAAGUGAAGCGGUGGAAACGCCGUGGCCGAAAGGAGCUUGCACAGGUGGUGCAUGGCUGUCGUCAGCUCGUGUCGUGAGAUGUUGGGUUAAGUCCCGCAACGAGCGCAACCCUUGCCAUUAGUUGUCAGCGAGUCAUGUCGGAUACUCUAAUGGGACUGCCGGUGAUGAGCCGGAGGAAGGUGGGGAUGACGUCAAGUCAGCAUGGCCUUUAUGUCCAGGGCCACACACGUGCUACAAUGGACGGUACAGAGGGACGCAAGACCGCAAGGUGGAGCAAAUCCUCAAAACCGUUCUCAGUUCGGAUUGUAGGCUGCAAUUCGCCUACAUGAAGCUGGAAUUGCUAGUAAUCGCAGAUCAGCACGCCGCGGUGAAUACGUUCCCGGGCCUU